This 484-nucleotide ribosomal RNA is filed under the name uncultured bacterium. Its description in RNAcentral is "partial 16S ribosomal RNA". It matches the Rfam family "Bacterial small subunit ribosomal RNA", at positions 30 to 507 of the family's 1533-position model. The record is from RNAcentral.
AUUGAACGCUGGCGGCAGGCCUAACACAUGCAAGUCGAGCGGAUGAAGGGAGCUUGCUCCUGGAUUCAGCGGCGGACGGGUGAGUAAUGCCUAGGAAGCUACCUGGUAGUGGGGGAUAACGUCCGGACACGGGCGCUAAUACCGCAUACGUCCUGAGGGAGAAAGUGGGGGAUCUUCGGACCUCACGCUAUCAGAUGAGCCUAGGUCGGAUUAGCUAGUUGGUGGGGUAAAGGCCUACCAAGGCGGCGAUCCGUAACGGGUCUGAGAGGAGGAUCAGUCACACUGGAACUGAGACACGGUCCAGACUCCUACGGGAGGCAGCAGUGGGGAAUAUUGGACAAUGGGCGAAAGCCUGAUCCAGCCAUGCCGCGUGUGUGAAGAAGGUCUUCGGAUUGUAAAGCACUUUAAGUUGGGAGGAAGGGCAGUAAGUUAAUAUCUUGCUGUGUUGACGUUACCAACAGAAUAAGCACCGGCUAACUUCGUG